UUUUUAACAAUCCAGUGAUACUGGAGUAUGUUGCUUCAACUUCUACAAGAACGUAAAUGGCCAUUGCAUACAAUGUCCAGUUGGUUCUUUUGGUUCGAACUGCAGUGGACAUUGUCCCCCGGGAUACUUUGGAAUGUUAUGUCGAGAGAAAUGUUCUUGUGAGGAAGACAUUUGUGACAGAGAAAUUGGUUGAACACAACAAACAGAUUGGUCUAUUCCAUCUUCCCCUACUUCAACAUCAGUCGAGAAAAUUUUGCCGACUGGUAUGAUGUCGUCCUCAUAUUGGAAAAACACACUCUUUAUAGUGAU
Molecule: long non-coding RNA, 309 nt
Organism: Saccostrea cuccullata (small rock oyster)
Lineage: Eukaryota; Metazoa; Mollusca; Bivalvia; Ostreida; Ostreidae
Exons: 3
Source: RefSeq, a predicted model, not a curated record